This is a long non-coding RNA of Notolabrus celidotus (New Zealand spotty), 257 nucleotides long. RefSeq lists it as uncharacterized. The record is from RefSeq and is a predicted model, not a curated record. The transcript is spliced from 3 exons. NCBI's taxonomy places the organism in Eukaryota, Metazoa, Chordata, Actinopteri, Labriformes, Labridae.
CCUUAUUCGCUCAUAUGGCGAGUUUGAGCAUGUUUUUUUUUUUAAAUGCAACACCGCUGCAGGUGCCAAACAGAGGGAGACGGCAUGGGAGAACAUUGCGGCUCGGGUCAAUGCGUGCAAUCACGCGGGGGAGAAGCGAACCUGGCAGCAGCUUAAGAUGAAAUAUAAAAACAUUGUUCAAACAGCCAACAGAAAGAAAGCAGAUGCCCGUAAAACGGGUGGCGGCCGAGCACCGCCACCUCUAACGGAGGCAGAGG